UACGUAGGGCGCAAGCGUUGUCCGGAAUUAUUGGGCGUAAAGAGCUCGUAGGCGGCUUGUCACGUCGUAUGUGAAAACCCGCGGCUCAACCGCGGGCCUGCAGUCGAUACGGGCAGGCUAGAGUUCGGUAGGGGAGACUGGAAUUCCUGGUGUAGCGGUGAAAUGCGCAGAUAUCAGGAGGAACACCGAUGGCGAAGGCAGGUCUCUGGGCCGAUACUGACGCUGAGGAGCGAAAGCGUGGGGAGCGAACAGG
RNAcentral lists this ribosomal RNA (253 nucleotides) under uncultured bacterium. Its description in RNAcentral is "partial 16S ribosomal RNA". It matches the Rfam family "Bacterial small subunit ribosomal RNA", at positions 524 to 776 of the family's 1533-position model. The record is from RNAcentral.